CAGUAGCCGCGGGAAUACGAAGGGUGCAAGCGUUACUCGGAAUUACUGGGCGUAAAGCGUGCGUAGGUGGUGGUUUAAGUCCGUUGUGAAAGCCCUGGGCUCAACCUGGGAAUUGCAGUGGAUACUGGGUCACUAGAGUGUGGUAGAGGAUAGUGGAAUUUCCGGUGUAGCAGUGAAAUGCGUAGAGAUCGGAAGGAACAUCUGUGGCGAAGGCGACUAUCUGGGCCAACACUGACACUGAGGCGCGAAAGCGUGGGGAGCAAACAGGAUUAGAUACCCCCGUAGUCCCUGUCUCUUAUAC
RNAcentral lists this ribosomal RNA (301 nucleotides) under uncultured bacterium. RNAcentral's name for it is "partial 16S ribosomal RNA". It matches the Rfam family "Bacterial small subunit ribosomal RNA", at positions 509 to 807 of the family's 1533-position model. The record is from RNAcentral.